AGAAUCAACGCUGGCGGCGUGCCUAACACAUGCAAGUCGAACGAGAAAGUGGAGCAAUCCAUGAGUAAAGUGGCGCACGGGUGAGUAACACGUGACUAACCUACCCUUGAGUGGGGAAUAACCUCGGGAAACCGGGGCUAAUACCGCAUAACACCUACGGGUCAAAGGAGCAAUUCGCUUAAGGAGGGGGUCGCGGCAGAUUAGUUAGUUGGCGGGGUAAUGGCCCACCAAGACGGUGAUCUGUAUCCGGCCUGAGAGGGCGCACGGACACACUGGAACUGAAACACGGUCCAGACUCCUACGGGAGGCAGCAGUGGGGAAUUUUGCGCAAUGGGGGGAACCCUGACGCAGCAACGCCGCGUGGAGGAUGAAGUCCCUUGGGACGUAAACUCCUUUCGAUCGGGACGAUUAUGACGGUACCGGAAGAAGAAGCCCCGGCUAACUUCGCGCCAGCAGCCGC
Molecule: ribosomal RNA, 460 nt
Filed under: uncultured bacterium
Lineage: Bacteria
Description: SSU rRNA
Rfam family: Bacterial small subunit ribosomal RNA
Source: RNAcentral